UACAGAGGUCCCAAGCGUUGUUCGGAUUCAUUGGGCGUAAAGAGCUCGUAGGCGGCUUGUCACGUCGGGUGUGAAAGCCCGGGGCUUAACCCCGGGUCUGCAUUCGAUACGGGCUGGCUGGAGUGUGGUAGGGGAGAUCGGAAUUCCUGGUGUAGCGGUGAAAUGCGCAGAUAUCAGGAGGAACACCGGUGGCGAAGGCGGAUCUCUGGGCCAUUACUGACGCUGAGGAGCGAAAGCGUGGGGAGCGAACAGG
This 253-nucleotide ribosomal RNA is filed under the name uncultured bacterium. RNAcentral's name for it is "partial 16S ribosomal RNA". It matches the Rfam family "Bacterial small subunit ribosomal RNA", at positions 524 to 776 of the family's 1533-position model. The record is from RNAcentral.